Molecule: ribosomal RNA, 492 nt
Filed under: uncultured bacterium
Lineage: Bacteria
Description: partial 16S ribosomal RNA
Rfam family: Bacterial small subunit ribosomal RNA
Source: RNAcentral
AGUGAACGCUGGCGGUAGGCCUAACACAUGCAAGUCGAACGGCAGCACAGUAAGAGCUUGCUCUUACGGGUGGCGAGUGGCGGACGGGUGAGGAAUACAUCGGAAUCUACUUUUUCGUGGGGGAUAACGUAGGGAAACUUACGCUAAUACCGCGUACGACCUACGGGUGAAAGCAGGGGAUCUUCGGACCUUGCGCGAUUAAAUGAGCCGAUGUCGGAUUAGCUAGUUGGCGGGGUAAAGGCCCACCAAGGCGACGAUCCGUAGCUGGUCUGAGAGGAUGAUCAGCCACACUGGAACUGAGACACGGUCCAGACUCCUACGGGAGGCAGCAGUGGGGAAUAUUGGACAAUGGGCGCAAGCCUGAUCCAGCCAUACCGCGUGGGUGAAGAAGGCCUUCGGGUUGUAAAGCCCUUUUGUUGGGAAAGAAAAGCAGCAGGUUAAUACCCCGCUGUUCUGACGGUACCCAAAGAAUAAGCACCGGCUAACUUCGUG